This 1279-nucleotide ribosomal RNA is filed under the name metagenome. RNAcentral's name for it is "SSU rRNA". It matches the Rfam family "Eukaryotic small subunit ribosomal RNA", at positions 519 to 1823 of the family's 1831-position model. The record is from RNAcentral.
UACACUUUAAAUCCUUUAACGAGGAUCUAUUGGAGGGCAAGUCUGGUGCCAGCAGCCGCGGUAAUUCCAGCUCCAAUAGCGUAUAUUAAAGUUGUUGCGGUUAAAAAGCUCGUAGUUGGAUCUCGGUUUCACUCAGGUGGUACACCUUGCGGUGUUCACUAUCUGGGUGGACGUUUCUGUUGGUUCGCUCUUGGUGCUCUUCAUCGGGUGCCAUUUGGUGGCCAGCACGUUUACUUUGAAAAAAUUGGAGUGCUCAAAGCAGGCGUUACAGCCUGAACAUUAGUGCAUGGAAUAAUGGAAUAGGAUCUCGAUUCUAUUUCGUUGGCUUUCGGAGUCGAGGUAAUGAUUAAUAGGGACAGACGGGGGCAUUCGUACUGCGACGUUAGAGGUGAAAUUCUUGGAUCGUCGCAAGACGAACUACUGCGAAAGCAUUUGCCAAGAAUGUCUUCAUUAAUCAAGAAUGAAAGUUAGAGGUUCGAAGGCGAUCAGAUACCGCCCUAGUUCUAACCAUAAACGAUGCCAACCGGCGAUCCGUCGUCGUUAAUUGAAUGACUCGACGGGCAGCCUCCGGGAAACCAGAGUGUUUGGGUUCCGGGGGAAGUAUGGUUGCAAAGCUGAAACUUAAAGGAAUUGACGGAAGGGCACCACCAGGAGUGGAGCCUGCGGCUUAAUUUGACUCAACACGGGAAAUCUCAUCAGGCCCGGACACCGGAAGGAUUGACAGAUUGAGAGCUCUUUCUUGAUUCGGUGGGUGGUGGUGCAUGGCCGUUCUUAGUUGGUGGAGCGAUUUGUCUGGUUAAUUCCGAUAACGAACGAGACUCUGGCCUACUAACUAGAAGGUCUAUCCUUUAUGGGUAGGCCUCUGCUUCUUAGAGGGACGGGCGGCGUUUAGCCGCACGAGAAUGAGCAAUAACAGGUCUGUGAUGCCCUUAGAUGUUCUGGGCUGCACGCGCGCUACACUGAAGGAAUCAGCAUGUUCUCCCCUCCCUGAAAAGGGCGGGUAACCCGUUGAAACUCCUUCGUGAUGGGGAUUGGAGAUUGUAAUUAUUCUCCAUGAACGAGGAAUUCCCAGUAGGCGCGAGUCAUCAGCUUGCGUCGAUUACGUCCCUGCCCUUUGUACACACCGCCCGUCGCUACUACCGAUCGAGUGAUUUAGUGAGGACUUCGGACUGGUCUUCAAGUUGGCUUCGGUCGGCUCGAAGUUCCGGAAAGAUGCCCAAACUUGAUCACUUAGAGGAAGUAAAAGUCGUAACAAGGUUUCCGUAGGUGCCUGCGGAAG